Molecule: non-coding RNA, 148 nt
Filed under: Nomascus leucogenys (northern white-cheeked gibbon)
Lineage: Eukaryota; Metazoa; Chordata; Mammalia; Primates; Hylobatidae
Source: Rfam by way of RNAcentral
GCUGGGCAUGGUGGUGCAUGCCUGUGGUCCCGGCUACUUGGGAGGCUGAGGUUGGAGGAUCAUCUGAGCCCAGGAGGUCGAGGCUGCAGUGAACCAUGAUCACGCCACUGCACCCUAGCCCAGGCAACAAAGUGAGCCCCUGUCUCUA